RNAcentral lists this ribosomal RNA (254 nucleotides) under uncultured bacterium. Its description in RNAcentral is "partial 16S ribosomal RNA". It matches the Rfam family "Bacterial small subunit ribosomal RNA", at positions 524 to 776 of the family's 1533-position model. The record is from RNAcentral.
GACAGAGGGUGCAAACGUUUGUUCGGAAUUAUUGGGCGUAAAGGGCGCGUAGGCGGCUUGGCAAGUGGAAGGUGAAAUCCCUCGGCUUAACCGAGGAACUGCCCUCCAAACUGCUUCGCUUGAGACCGGGAGAGGUGAGUGGAAUUCCCAGUGUAGCGGUGAAAUGCGUAGAUAUUGGGAGGAACACCAGUGGCGAAGGCGGCUCACUGGACCGGUACUGACGCUGAUGCGCGAAAGCGUGGGGAGCAAACGGG